AUCCUUUUUCUGUUCAUAAGCAUGAUGAUUGGGUAUUCACACAUUUGUUUGAUAUGUGCCAUCCUAAAUCUUGUUACACAUUUGAAACAUUACUGGUCUAAUG
Molecule: small nucleolar RNA, 103 nt
Organism: Sorex araneus (European shrew)
Lineage: Eukaryota; Metazoa; Chordata; Mammalia; Eulipotyphla; Soricidae
Source: Ensembl